CCUACGGGGGGCAGCAGUGGGGAAUAUUGCACAAUGGGCGGAAGCCUGAUGCAGCAACGCCGCGUGGGGGAUGAAGGACUUCGGUAUGUAAAGCCCUGUCAGCAGGGAAGAAGGGUACGGUAUCUGACCAAGAAGCCCCGGCUAAUUACGUGCCAGCAGGCGCGGUAAUACGGGGGGGGCAAGCGUUAUCCGGAUUUACUGGGUGUAAAGCGAGCGUAGACGGCAUGGCAAGUCAGGAGUGAAAGCCCGAGGUCCAACCGCGGGACUGCACUGGAAACUGGGAGACUGGAGUGCAGGAGAGGUAAGCGGAAUUCCUGGUGUAGCGGUGAAAUGCGUAGAUAUCAGGAGGAACACCGGUGGCGAAGGCGGCUUACUGGACUGUAACUGACGUUGAGGCUCGAAGGCGUGGGGAGCAAACAGGAUUAGAUACCCCAGUAGUC
RNAcentral lists this ribosomal RNA (440 nucleotides) under uncultured bacterium. RNAcentral's name for it is "partial 16S ribosomal RNA". It matches the Rfam family "Bacterial small subunit ribosomal RNA", at positions 338 to 795 of the family's 1533-position model. The record is from RNAcentral.